AUCCGUUAAACUCCUGUCGGUACGGAAGAUCAGAUAAGUAGUACUGACCUAGGCUUGACGGUACUAGCAGAAGGCCACGGGCUACUACGUGCAGCAGCCGCGGUAAUACGUAGGUGGCAAGCGUGUCCGGAUUUUAUUGGGCGUAAAGCGCUCGCAGGCGGUCUUUUAAGUCUGAUGUGAAAGCCCACGGCUUAACCGUGGAGGGUCAUUGGAAACUGGAGGACUUGAGUGCAGAAGAGGAGAGUGGAAUUCCAUGUGUAGCGGUGAAAUGCGUAGAGAUAUGGAGGAACACCAGUGGCGAAGGCGACUCUCUGGUCUGUAACUGACGCUGAGGAGCGAAAGCGUGGGUAGCGAACAGGAUUAGAUACCCUGGUAGUCCACGCCGUAAACGAUGAGUGCUAGGUGUUAGGGGGUUUCCGCCCCUUAGUGCUGAAGUUAACGCAUUAAGCACUCCGCCUGGGGAGUACGGCCGCAAGGCUGAAACUCAAAAGAAUUGACGGGGACCCGCACAAGCGGUGGAGCAUGUGGUUUAAUUCGAAGCAACGCGAAGAACCUUACCAGGUCUUGACAUCCUUUCGACCUCCCUAGAGAUAGGGAUUUCCCUUCGGGGACGAAAGUGACAGGUGGUGCAUGGUUGUCGUCAGCUCGUGUCGUGAGAUGUUGGGUUAAGUCCCGCAACGAGCGCAACCCUUGAUCUUAGUUGCCAGCAUUAAGUUGGGCACUCUAAGGUGACUGCCGGUGACAAACCGGAGGAAGGUGGGGAUGACGUCAAAUCAUCAUGCCCCUUAUGACCUGGGCUACACACGUGCUACAAUGGAUGGUACAAAGGGCAGCRAAACCGUGAGGUCAAGCAAAUCCCAUAAAACCAUUCUCAGUUCGGAUUGUAGGCUGCAACUCGCCUACAUGAAGCCGGAAUCGCUAGUAAUCGCGGAUCAGAAUGCCGCGGUGAAUACGUUCCCGGGUCUUGUACACACCGCCCGUCACACCASGAGAGUUGGUAACACCCGAAGUCGGUGAGGUAACCUUUUGGAGCCAGCCGCCGAAGGGACCUGUUCUCGUUU
This 1061-nucleotide ribosomal RNA is filed under the name Oceanobacillus caeni. RNAcentral's name for it is "bacterial SSU rRNA". The record is from RNAcentral. Lineage: Bacteria; Bacillati; Bacillota; Bacilli; Caryophanales; Bacillaceae.